GCGGCGGACGGGUGGAGUAACACGUGGGCAAGCUGCCCUGCAGACUGGGAUAACUUCGGGAAACCGGAGCUAAUACCGGAUAACACCGAAAACCGCAUGGUUUUCGGUUGAAAGGCGGCUUUUAGCUGUCACUGCAGGAUGGGCCCGCGGCGCAUUAGCUAGUUGGUGAGGUAACGGCUCACCAAGGCGACGAUGCGUAGCCGACCUGAGAGGGUGACCGGCCACACUGGGACUGAGACACGGCCCAGACUCUUACGGGAGGCAGCAGUAGGGAAUCUUCCGCAAUGGACGAAAGUCUGACGGAGCAACGCCGCGUGAGCGAAGAAGGUCUUCGGAUCGUAAAGCUCUGUUGUCAGGGAAGAACAAGUGCCGUUCGAACAGGGCGGUACCUUGACGGUACCUGACGAGGAAGCCACGGCUAACUACGUGCCAGCAGCCGCGGUAAUAC
This 448-nucleotide ribosomal RNA is filed under the name Aeribacillus sp. G13D005. RNAcentral's name for it is "bacterial SSU rRNA". It matches the Rfam family "Bacterial small subunit ribosomal RNA", at positions 95 to 526 of the family's 1533-position model. Lineage: Bacteria; Bacillati; Bacillota; Bacilli; Caryophanales; Bacillaceae. The record is from RNAcentral.